CUUGCCAUUCCUGCCCUCAGGGCCCUCACAGGAGGGGACCUGAGCUGGCAGCAUCUGCUUAGCUUGGAGGUGGGGUUGGGGGAGAGCAGAAGCCCAUGUGGGUUCACUCAGUAGGGUGGAUUCUACUCUGAGGUUAGAGGCUCCUGAGAGGGGAGCCCUUACUUCAGCCCAGUCCAAAGUAGUCAGAUGAUGGGGGAAGGAUUCCAACUUAAUGCCCUGAUCUUUUCUGACCAGCACCUCCUUUCUGCUCUUAAAAUAUUUCACGUCAGUGCGAAGGAUGUGACAGGCCAUUUUCCACCUUGGAAAGUGACAGCUCGUUUGAAAUAGUCACCAAAUGUAUCUUCUGCCGGAGAGAUGCGAUGGACUUGCCAGCAGCAGCUUCAUCAUCAUCAGAAACAGAGAACAAGGAGGACUGAUGGCCACUGGGCCCUUUCAUUGACUUGAUCAUGGGUCACCUGUCACCCAGGUUGUGGGGCUCUCUGCAGGGAUCCUUCUCAGGGUCCCUCCCCACCUGAGUGGGCCUGUGAGACUGGGGUAGGGGCCAAUCCCUGGCUGGGCUCUCAGUGCAGGGCCACCUCCUCAGCUCCACAGCAUCCUUGAGGGUUGAACACUUCAGUUUCCAUGCAGAAUAAAUCUAGAUUCCUUUGGAAAACAAGUGUGCAUAUGAAUUGUAGAAGCAGUUUGCUAUUUCUAAGCUUAACAUCCUGGUGUUCAUUCUGUCUCAUUUUGGGGAUGCGUUAUGGACUCCUAUUCUGGAGUCUUGGGCCUCUGGGACUGGUAUCACCAUUUCCCAGAGGAUGGGUUUGUCAAAUGAACAUGAAGAUGUGUGGGGGUCCGUGCUCUGUGAUUGAGGAUGGCAAGGCAUUGUGGCUUAUAUGGUUUGACUAUGAUUUGUUCCCUAAGAGUUCAUAUCCUGGAAGCUUGGUCCCCAAUGGCGGACACAUCAAUACCUGCUUCUUGGAAGUGGGUUAGAUAUCAGGGGACUGAAUUUGCUACUUCAAGAGCAGAUUGUUAUAAAGUUAGGCCACCCCUGUGUUUGGUUUCUUCUACAUGUGCUACUUGCUGUUCUUACAUGUGCUCCUGUCAUGUGAUGCCACCUGCCAUGUUAUGACCAUAUGAAGCACUAAUCAGAUGUCACUGCAUGAUCUUGAACUUUCCUGCCUCUAGAACCAUGAGCUCAAUAAAUAUU
Molecule: long non-coding RNA, 1189 nt
Filed under: Marmota monax (woodchuck)
Lineage: Eukaryota; Metazoa; Chordata; Mammalia; Rodentia; Sciuridae
Source: RNAcentral